RNAcentral lists this ribosomal RNA (327 nucleotides) under uncultured eukaryote. Its description in RNAcentral is "partial 18S ribosomal RNA". It matches the Rfam family "Eukaryotic small subunit ribosomal RNA", at positions 1470 to 1796 of the family's 1831-position model. The record is from RNAcentral.
CCCUUAGAUGUUCUGGGCCGCACGCGCGCUACACUGAUUCAUGCAACAAGUUUUGUCCUUGGCUGAUAGGCCUGGGUAAUCUUUGAACGUGAAUCGUGAUGGGGAUAGAUGAUUGCAAUUAUUCAUCUUCAGCGAGGAAUUCCUAGUAAACGCAAGUCAUCAGCUUGCAUUGAUUACGUCCCUGCCCUUUGUACACACCGCCCGUCGCACCUACCGAUUGAAUGGUCCGGUGAAAUCUUCGGAUCUGAGAGAUGUCUGAUUAAUUUCGGACGCCUUUUGGAAAAGUUGCUUAAACCUUACCAUUUAGAGGAAGGUGAAGUCGUAACA